Molecule: small nuclear RNA, 182 nt
Organism: Leopardus geoffroyi (Geoffroy's cat)
Lineage: Eukaryota; Metazoa; Chordata; Mammalia; Carnivora; Felidae
Product: U2 spliceosomal RNA
Exons: 1
Source: RefSeq, a predicted model, not a curated record
AUCGCUUCUUGGCCUUUUGGCUAAGAUCAAGUGUAGAAUUACAUGGGAGCAUAAUGAAAACUGAUUCCUGUCCUCAGCCCCCAGUAUUCAGAUGUAAUUAUUCUAGGAUGGGAACCAAAAAUCAACAUUUGUUAAAGGCUUUCCUGAUGUUUCUAAUGCACAGCCAGCGCUGAGAACCCCUG